AGGCCUGAGGGUUGUAAAGCACUUUCAUUUUGGAAGAAGUUGUGUAUUUAAAUAGGAUACAUGAUUGACGUUACAAGAAGAAGAAGCACCGGCAAACUCUGUGCCAGCAGCCGCGGUAAUACAGAGGGUGCGAGCGUUAAUCGGAAUUACUGGGCGUAAAGAGUGCGCAGGUUGAAAUAUAAGUCUGUUGUGAAAGGUACGAGCUUAACUUGUAGAGUGCGAUAGAAACUGUAUAACUAGAGUAUAGUAGAGGGUGUAGGAAUUUCCGGAGUAGCGGUGAAAUGCGUAGAUAUCGGAAGGAACAUCAGUGGCGAAGGCGUACACCUGGACUGAUACUGACACUGGGGCACGAAAGCGUGGGUAGCGAACAGGAUUAGAUACCCUGGUAGUCCACGCUGUAAACGAUGAGAACUAGCUGUUAGUGUCCAUAGAGGCAUUAGUGGCGCAGCAAACGCGAUAAGUUUUCCGCCUGGGGAGUACGGCCGCAAGGUUAAAACUCAAAGAAAUUGACGGGGGCCCGCACAAGCGGUGGAGCAUGUGGUUUAAUUCGAUGCAACGCGAAGAACCUUACCUACCCUUGACAUACUGGGGAGGAUAUAGAGAUAUAUUUGUGCCGAAAGGAACCUAGAUACAGGUGCUGCAUGGCUGUCGUCAGCUCGUGUCGUGAGAUGUUGGGUUAAGUCCCGUAACGAGCGCAACCCUUAUAUUUAGUUACUAAAA
RNAcentral lists this ribosomal RNA (720 nucleotides) under uncultured bacterium. RNAcentral's name for it is "bacterial SSU rRNA". It matches the Rfam family "Bacterial small subunit ribosomal RNA", at positions 412 to 1123 of the family's 1533-position model. The record is from RNAcentral.